Long non-coding RNA from Xiphophorus couchianus (Monterrey platyfish), 627 nucleotides. RefSeq lists it as uncharacterized. Lineage: Eukaryota; Metazoa; Chordata; Actinopteri; Cyprinodontiformes; Poeciliidae. The transcript has 3 exons. The record is from RefSeq and is a predicted model, not a curated record.
GUUUUCUCACCAAUAUAACUUUCUCCACAAUAAUUGAAUCCUGUCAAUACAUAAUUUCAAAUCCUUUCUCUCCUGCUUGGCUUUUCGUAAGGUUGCCAGGUUUGGAAGGUGACUUGGCUCGGGAUCUCCAAUAUCCAUCAACUCUGAUGCCUUUGCUGACCUCCAUACAGCUGGUUCCAUCCUACCCUCACACAACUCUUUGGAAACCUGUGCACGAAGGGUUCCUGACAUGAAUCUUUUGGACUGGCCAGUGUGCAGGGAGAUGUCGGCGCCUUCGAUAGAACACUGGAGCACCAUUGGGCUGUUGACCGUUGGCUCUCUGUCACAUGUCAUUUUAACAUGGCCUUGACACGCUUUACAGAAGCCUUUGAUAUCAAUGUACUUACUAGUGACAGUUGGAUAAAUUUUUGCUCUUUGCAAUACAAAUGUACAUGUGCUUUUCAACUUUUUCCAAACCAGAUCAUUAAUUAUGUGACUCCAAGUGCCAGGUUUUAAAAUUGUGUAUUCCCUUUUGCCAGAUGAUGAAAACUUGUCAUUGUAUUCAACUCUUUCUGGUAUAAAUUUAAUCCAUUCUUCAAAUGGAACUUCAAGCUGAAAAUCUGUAAAUUGAGCAAAGAAAGGUUUUGC